Molecule: ribosomal RNA, 253 nt
Filed under: uncultured bacterium
Lineage: Bacteria
Description: partial 16S ribosomal RNA
Rfam family: Bacterial small subunit ribosomal RNA
Source: RNAcentral
UACAGAGGUCUCAAGCGUUGUUCGGAUUCAUUGGGCGUAAAGGGUGCGUAGGCGGUUCGUCGCGUCGGCUGUGAAAACCUGAGGCUCAACCUCAGGCCUGCAGUCGAUACGGGCGGACUUGAGUACUGCAGGGGAGACUGGAAUUCCUGGUGUAGCGGUGAAAUGCGCAGAUAUCAGGAGGAACACCGACGGCGAAGGCAGCACUCUGGGCCGGUACUGACGCUGAGGAGCGAAAGCAUGGGGAGCGAACAGG